This 497-nucleotide ribosomal RNA is filed under the name uncultured bacterium. RNAcentral describes it as "partial 16S ribosomal RNA". It matches the Rfam family "Bacterial small subunit ribosomal RNA", at positions 28 to 507 of the family's 1533-position model. The record is from RNAcentral.
GAUGAACGCCGGCGACGUGCCUAAUACAUGCAAGUCGAGCGAACAGACGAGGAGCUUGCUCCUCUGACGUUAGCGGCGGACGGGUGAGUAACACGAGGAUAACCUACCUAUAAGACUGGGAUAACUUCGGGAAACCGGAGCUAAUACCGGAUAAUAUAUUGAACCGCAUGGUUCAAUAGUGAAAGACGGUUUUGCUGUCACUUAUAGAUGGAUCCGCGCCGCAUUAGCUAGUUGGUAAGGUAACGGCUUACCAAGGCAACGAUGCGUAGCCGACCUGAGAGGGUGAUCGGCCACACUGGAACUGAGACACGGUCCAGACUCCUACGGGAGGCAGCAGUAGGGAAUCUUCCGCAAUGGGCGAAAGCCUGACGGAGCAACGCCGCGUGAGUGAUGAAGGUCUUCGGAUCGUAAAACUCUGUUAUUAGGGAAGAACAAAUGUGUAAGUAACUAUGCACGUCUUGACGGUACCUAAUCAGAAAGCCACGGCUAACUACGUG